AAAACUUAAGAAUAAACUCUUCUAUCAUGCAGUCGAGCGAAUGGAUUAAGAGCUUGCUCUUAUGAAGUUAGCGGCGGACGGGUGAGUAACACGUGGGUAACCUGCCCAUAAGACUGGGAUAACUCCGGGAAACCGGGGCUAAUACCGGAUAACAUUUUGAACCGCAUGGUUCGAAAUUGAAAGGCGGCUUCGGCUGUCACUUAUGGAUGGACCCGCGUCGCAUUAGCUAGUUGGUGAGGUAACGGCUCACCAAGGCAACGAUGCGUAGCCGACCUGAGAGGGUGAUCGGCCACACUGGGACUGAGACACGGCCCAGACUCCUACGGGAGGCAGCAGUAGGGAAUCUUCCGCAAUGGACGAAAGUCUGACGGAGCAACGCCGCGUGAGUGAUGAAGGCUUUCGGGUCGUAAAACUCUGUUGUUAGGGAAGAACAAGUGCUAGUUGAAUAAGCUGGCACCUUGACGGAACCUAACCAGAAAGCCACGGCUAACUACGUGCCAGCAGCCGCGGUAAUACGUAGGUGGCAAGCGUUAUCCGGAAUUAUUGGGCGUAAAGCGCGCGCAGGUGGUUUCUUAAGUCUGAUGUGAAAGCCCACGGCUCAACCGUGGAGGGUCCAUUGGAAAACUGGGAGACUUGAGUGC
This 641-nucleotide ribosomal RNA is filed under the name Bacillus subtilis. RNAcentral's name for it is "bacterial SSU rRNA". It matches the Rfam family "Bacterial small subunit ribosomal RNA", at positions 1 to 649 of the family's 1533-position model. Lineage: Bacteria; Bacillati; Bacillota; Bacilli; Caryophanales; Bacillaceae. The record is from RNAcentral.